Molecule: ribosomal RNA, 496 nt
Filed under: uncultured bacterium
Lineage: Bacteria
Description: partial 16S ribosomal RNA
Rfam family: Bacterial small subunit ribosomal RNA
Source: RNAcentral
AUGCACGCUGGCGGCGUGCCUAAUCCAUGCAAGUCGAGCGAACGAACGAGAAGCUUGCUUCUCUGAUGUUAGCGGCGGACGGGUGAGUAACACGUGGAUAACCUACCUAUAAGACUGGGAUAACUUCGGGAAACCGGAGCUAAUACCGGAUAAUAUUUUGAACCGCAUGGUUCAAAAGUGAAAGACGGUCUUGCUGUCACUUAUAGAUGGAUCCGCGCUGCAUUAGCUAGUUGGUAAGGUAACGGCUUACCAAGGCAACGAUGCAUAGCCGACCUGAGAGGGUGAUCGGCCACACUGGAACUGAGACACGGUCCAGACUCCUACGGGAGGCAGCAGUAGGGAAUCUUCCGCAAUGGGCGAAAGCCUGACGGAGCAACGCCGCGUGAGUGAUGAAGGUCUUCGGAUCGUAAAACUCUGUUAUUAGGGAAGAACAUAUGUGUAAGUAACUGUGCACAUCUUGACGGUACCUAAUCAGAAAGCCACGGCUAACUACGUG